ACAUGAACACAGAAGAAAAGCAUAAUCAAAGUCUCCAAGGAAAUUCCUCCUUUUGCUUCCCAAUCAUUCAAAAAAUUGAACUAUUUGAGAAUAAUUUAAGGAACAGGGGAAAUGGAAAUCAAAACCCAGGUUUUGAAUUUGUCACAGCGUAGCUUUUACUUCUUGGAUAAACCAAAUCAGCCUUAUCUUCAACGCCAUCUUCAAAUUCACAAGCAG
Molecule: unclassified non-coding RNA, 216 nt
Filed under: Hevea brasiliensis (rubber tree)
Lineage: Eukaryota; Viridiplantae; Streptophyta; Magnoliopsida; Malpighiales; Euphorbiaceae
Source: RNAcentral